Sus scrofa (pig) is the source of this 1022-nucleotide long non-coding RNA. RefSeq lists it as uncharacterized. NCBI's taxonomy places the organism in Eukaryota, Metazoa, Chordata, Mammalia, Artiodactyla, Suidae. The record is from RefSeq and is a predicted model, not a curated record.
UCUAACUUAACCAUCUAGACAAUAACUGGGCUAGCAAUCAAAGAUGCAAGCCUGUCUACAAAGAGACUGGAAAAGAAAACUCUCUUAGCCACAAGUCAGGAAAUGAUUCAUUUUCUAACAUGUCAUCAAAAUUUUUAUUUCUUUUCUCUUAAAUCUACCCAACAGGUUAAAUUUGAUUAUUUCUCAAAUACUACUGUCAACUCUGCCAAAUAAUGCAUGUUUUUGAAGUGGAAAUGUAUUAUUUGUAUCCCAUAUCUGAAUUUCAGUCUCACAGAAAUUACAUAAAACAGAAGAGAAUGAAUCAUAGAAUAUCAAAUACCAUAACCUUUAGUACAGAAGGACUUUGAGAAUUAUUUCCCUAAUAGGCAAGGACAGAACAAACUGUGUGAGUUCUUGAUACGACCUCCUGCCUGGCUCUUGUUCAAUUAUCUCUAUGUUUCAUCUCUGAAGUGGGGAUAAUAAUAGUACCUACCUCAUAGGAUUGUUGUGAAGAGUCGGGGUUACUCCUUCUAAGUACUUCAAAUAUGUCUAUCUGGGCCUACUUUUGCAUCCUGGGCAUGAAACUUGAGGGGCAGGAGGAACCAAAGUGAAGAUGAAGCUCAUGCCCUCUGCUCUGCCAAGUGUCACAAACUGUACAAAUCCUGUGGGCUCAUUGUCUUCCUAUUGGCUGCAUCCACAGGGUCUGGCAAGCGGUCCCAGCAGGACAGAACUAAAACACCCAACAAAUGGAAGAUGCUAACUACCUGAUGAAGCUUCCUCAAUUCAGAAAGAAGAAGAAACACCAGACCCAGUCCUGGAGGCCGCUAAACAUCAACUUUGGAGAAGAAUGCAAGCUUGCACCUACCCUGAUCCUUAGCCCUAUUUUCCCUUAGCCCUAUUUUCUACUCCCAAACUAUAAAACCAGCUCCUAUUCUCUCCCAAAGGAGGACACAGUCUUUAGAGCUUUAGCCUGCUGUGGCCUCCUUUGCCUGACAAAGCAAUAAAAGCUAUUUUUUUCUCCUUGGCCCAAAACUCUCUCUCUG